CCCGCCGCAGCACGACGGACGUGCACCUCGCUACGAACGAGAAGGCUGCUGGUUCGAAUCCAGUCGGUGGGUCCA
Molecule: transfer RNA, 75 nt
Filed under: Mycobacterium phage Bongo
Lineage: Duplodnaviria; Heunggongvirae; Uroviricota; Caudoviricetes; Vilmaviridae
Also listed under: 14 other names
Description: tRNA-Arg
Rfam family: tRNA
About the family: Transfer RNA (tRNA) molecules are approximately 80 nucleotides in length. Their secondary structure includes four short double-helical elements and three loops (D, anti-codon, and T loops).
Source: RNAcentral